GCUGGGUGUGGUCGUGCGUGCUUGUAGUCCCAUCUACUUGGGAGGCUGAGGUGGGAGAAUUGCUUGAGCCCAGGAGGUCAAGGCUGCAGUGAACCAUGAUUGUACCACUGCACUCCAGCCUGGGCGACAGAGCAAGACCCUGUCUCAA
Molecule: unclassified non-coding RNA, 148 nt
Organism: Pongo abelii (Sumatran orangutan)
Lineage: Eukaryota; Metazoa; Chordata; Mammalia; Primates; Hominidae
Rfam family: Metazoan signal recognition particle RNA
About the family: The signal recognition particle (SRP) is a universally conserved ribonucleoprotein. It is involved in the co-translational targeting of proteins to membranes.
Source: Ensembl